CAGGGCUCCUCGGAGAAAUGGCUGAUUUUAGUACUGGGCAGGAAAUAUAGAAAUGGACGUGGAGCAUCUCAUAGAGCUAGAAAGUACUAACCAGGCCUGACCCUACUUAGCUUCCAAGAUCAGAGGAGACCGGGCACGUUCAAGAUGACUUGGAACUGAAGAAGCUGGCAAUCUGGAAAUGCCAAUGGACGCAGAUUUUAAAAGCCCCAGCAAAAGUCUGCUUUCUCUAUUCAUAGGACCAGGAUCAGGAAGAGGACAGCUUAGAAAGACAUAAAAUUCUUAGACAAUAACUGUUCUACCCCAGCCAAACACCAAACACACACACACACACACACACACACACACUCCAACAACUAUGGCCCCACCCACUUCAGCAAAGGCUGAGUAGGAGCCUAAACUUCCACCACUGAGCGGCUAUAAGAAGUUACCCCAAGACCCCACCAACGUGGUGUUAAAGAAGGCCAAAUAGGGGACAAAAUUUUUAUCCAUGCUGACCAGUUAUGAGGUUCCCUUUUUCCCUCUGUGAAAUAAAAAUAAAGCCCGUAGGUCCCCAGGCAAGAUGAAAUGGACUCCUUGUUGCAAAAGAGACCCCAGAAAACUUUAAAAGCUGGAUUCUAUGGCUUUGGCAAGGUAAGAGUUCGGUCACACCUCAAAACUCCCCUACCUCAUUAACUGCUUCAAGACUUUCUUUCCUACAGUUAAACGCCUGGGACUACAGUCAUGUGCCACCAUCCUAGGCUAAUUUUUUUUUAAAGGUUUUUGUAGAGAUGAGGUCUCAGUAU
RNAcentral lists this long non-coding RNA (782 nucleotides) under Homo sapiens (human). RNAcentral's name for it is "HSALNT0329847". The record is from RNAcentral. Lineage: Eukaryota; Metazoa; Chordata; Mammalia; Primates; Hominidae.